Molecule: ribosomal RNA, 465 nt
Filed under: Vreelandella stevensii
Lineage: Bacteria; Pseudomonadati; Pseudomonadota; Gammaproteobacteria; Oceanospirillales; Halomonadaceae
Description: partial 16S ribosomal RNA
Rfam family: Bacterial small subunit ribosomal RNA
Source: RNAcentral
CCUACGGGAGGCAGCAGUGGGGAAUAUUGGACAAUGGGGGGAACCCUGAUCCAGCCAUGCCGCGUGUGUGAAGAAGGCCCUCGGGUUGUAAAGCACUUUCAGUGAGGAAGAACGCCUGGUGGUUAAUACCCAUCAGGAAAGACAUCACUCACAGAAGAAGCACCGGCUAACUCCGUGCCAGCAGCCGCGGUAAUACGGAGGGUGCGAGCGUUAAUCGGAAUUACUGGGCGUAAAGCGCGCGUAGGUGGCUUGAUAAGCCGGUUGUGAAAGCCCCGGGCUCAACCUGGGAACGGCAUCCGGAACUGUCAAGCUAGAGUGCAGGAGAGGAAGGUAGAAUUCCCGGUGUAGCGGUGAAAUGCGUAGAGCUCGGGAGGAAUACCAGUGGCGAAGGCGGCCUUCUGGACUGACACUGACACUGAGGUGCGAAAGCGUGGGUAGCAAACAGGAUUAGAUACCCGUGUAGUC